Molecule: transfer RNA, 75 nt
Filed under: Candidatus Altimarinota bacterium
Lineage: Bacteria; Candidatus Altimarinota
Description: tRNA-Thr
Rfam family: tRNA
About the family: Transfer RNA (tRNA) molecules are approximately 80 nucleotides in length. Their secondary structure includes four short double-helical elements and three loops (D, anti-codon, and T loops).
Source: RNAcentral
GCCGCCCUAGCUCAACGGUAGAGCAACUGUUUUGUAAACAGUAGGUUGUCAGUUCGAAUCUGAUGGGCGGCUCCA